Molecule: long non-coding RNA, 1777 nt
Organism: Macaca mulatta (Rhesus monkey)
Lineage: Eukaryota; Metazoa; Chordata; Mammalia; Primates; Cercopithecidae
Source: Ensembl
GGGGUCCUGGACUGGACCGUGGCUGUGGGGUGGAGAGCAGCGGCUAGAUGCUGGGUGGACUUUGGGUCCAGGAAGCUGACCCAGGGGUUUGGGUCCAAGUCAGCACGGGUCUGGAGGAGGUACCAUUGGCUGGAGUGAGGGAAGGCUGGAAGAGGAUGUUUGAAUGACAAGGGGCCGGAUGCCCUUGCCUUCAGAGCGACCCUGUGGGGUCAGGCUGACGUAUUCCCGUUUUUCAGAGGAGGAGACGGAUGCACAGCGGUGCGGUGACUCCUCAGGGACCGCACAGCGUCUGAUCCAGAAACGCUGGUUCAUGGGCGGAGGAGGCCUGCCUGGGAAACUCACUGCAGGAAAUCGUAAAGGAGCAAAAGUGGGAACAGCCUCGGCGCCCGUCAAGGGGCAGGGCUGGGGCAGUCGUAUGAAGGCGGCCAGGGUGGGUGACAUUGAGAUUGGCAGGCGUGGGUAGGCAGGACUGUGCAGGGGCCAAGAACAUUCUGGACUUGAGUCCCGGGUCCACCGCCUGCUGGCUUUGCGACCUCCGCCUCUGUCAAUGGUGACAGUCAUGGAACAGCUCGUGGGCUGGCGCCUGUGGGCACGCUGGCAGCAGAGGCGUUCCGCAGGAGUGUCAUCUGCUGUAUGCCAAGGACGCUCUGCCAGUCUCACCCUGUACACAGCAGGCGAUUAAUCAGUGCCCAUCCACUAGGGCAGCAUUGCUCCAUCUUGACACCAUGGACAUUUGGGGGUCUUCUCUUGGGAGGAACACCAUUGUAGGUCUCCAGCCACUAGAUGCCAUCAGCACCCCUGGUCCUGGCAGCCAAGAAUGUCUCCAGACAUAGCCAAGUGUCCCCAGGGGCAGCAGCAUCCAUGGCUGAGCACUGCUGGCCCACGGGAUCCGUUCUAGGCUCCACUCUCCAGACCUGGGCUGCCCGACACGGCAUCCACAGGGCCACAGGUGAUGCUGGAGCCCUGGAACCGUGGACGCUCCACGCUGCGGGCUGCAAGUGCAAAACAUGCCAGGCUGGCGAGACAGCAUGAAAAAAAGAAGGUGAAAUAUCUCACCUGUAAUAUUUGUAUGCAGAAAUGAUAUUAUUUUGGAUAUGGGGUGAAUAAGAUACAUUAUUAAAAUUAAUUGCCUGGCGCAGUGGCUCACACCUGUAAUCCCAGCACUUUGGGAGGCCGAGGCGGGCGGAUCACCUGAGGUUGGGAGUUCGAGACCAGCCUGAGCAACAUGGAGAAACCCUGUCUCUACGAAAAAUACAAAAUUAGCCAGGCGUGGUGGCACACGCCUGUAGUCCCAGCUACUCAGGAGGCUGAGACAGGAGAAUCGCUUGAACCUGGGAGGCAGAAGUUGUGCUGAGCCGAGAUUGUGCCAUUACACUCCAGCCUGGGCAACAAGAGCAAAACUCCGUCUCAAAAAUAAAAUAAAUAAAAGUAAUUUCACAUGUUUCUCUUUUUUUGCUAUAACUACUAGAAAAUUUAAAAAUGGCCAAGCGUGGUGGUUCAUGCCUGUAAACUCAGUGCUUUGGGAGGCUUGAGACCAGGCGUUAAAGACCAGCCUGGGCAACAUAGCAAGAUCCCAUCUCCACACACAAUAAAGAAGAAAUUAGCCAGACGUGGUGGCACCUGCCUACAGUCCUAGCUACUCCAAAGGCUGAGGUGGCAAGAUCACUUCAGCCCAGAAGUUGGAGGCUACAGUGAGCUAUGAUUGCACCACUGCACUCCAGCCUGGGUGACAGCAACACACUGUCUAAAAAAAAAAAAAAAAAAAAAAAAAAAAAAG